This 547-nucleotide long non-coding RNA is filed under the name Carica papaya (papaya). RNAcentral's name for it is "long non-coding RNA (CPAP_LNC015298)". Lineage: Eukaryota; Viridiplantae; Streptophyta; Magnoliopsida; Brassicales; Caricaceae. The record is from RNAcentral.
UGCAAAAGUACUAGGGCAUGCACAAUACAAAAGUUAGGGAUUCAACAUGUAAACAACGACUAUGAAAGAUGACACGGCAUAAAAGGAAUAAAUAGAAUUAGCAAUGAUAACCCGAUCAGCAAACCUCAAAUGUCAUUAACAUGUGAUACAAGGGAAAGAGCCAGCUACUUUUUCCAUGUGAUACACGAGAACAUUCCUAGUAUGAGCAAAAAAAAAAAAAAACUCACUGGGAACAAGAGAGAGCCAUAGUUGAAGGGCAGGAGAGGUUGAUUGACGCCAUUUUUUUAUCUCCCUAAAACCUCGAACGAACUUGGAAUUCGGGGCACUAUGAAUUUCUAAACCCGAUGCGCAUCAAUUGCGGGAUUGAAGUCUGCACAAAUCUACAUAUAUUUAUAGCCCCCCGAUGGAGGAGGAAGCAAAUUUGAAGACCAAGGAAGAAACUGUGAAGCUGCGGCGUAUCGUUUGUUGGAGCGGGCGUCACCUGCGGGUGAUUUAAGUUGGGUCCCGGCAAAAACCAACUGGGUCCCUGAAACCGUUAUUUUAAGGG